RNAcentral lists this ribosomal RNA (1434 nucleotides) under uncultured bacterium. RNAcentral describes it as "bacterial SSU rRNA". It matches the Rfam family "Bacterial small subunit ribosomal RNA". The record is from RNAcentral.
AGAGUUUGAUCAUGGCUCAGAACGUACGCUGGCGGCACGCCUAACACAUGCAAGUCGAACGAAGUAGCAAUACUUAGUGGCAGACGGGUGAGUAACAUGUGGGUAUCUGCCCUUUGGCCUGGAAUAACACGAGGAAACUUGUGCUAAUACCGGAUAAGUCUUUACGGAGAAAGCUUUAUGCACCAUUGGAUGAGCCCGCACUUGAUUAGUUUGUUGGUGGGGUAAUGGCCUACCAAGACUGUGAUCAAUAGCUGAUUUGAGAGGAUGAUCAGCCACAUUGGGACUGAGACACGGCCCAAACUCCUACGGGAGGCAGCAGUGGGGAAUCUUGCACAAUGGAGGAAACUCUGAUGCAGCGAUGCCGCGUGAGUGAAGAAGGCCUUUGGGUUGUAAAGCUCUUUCGUCGGGGAAGAAAAUGACUGUACCCGAAUAAGAAGGUCCGGCUAACUUCGUGCCAGCAGCCGCGGUAAUACGAAGGGACCUAGCGUAGUUCGGAAUUACUGGGCUUAAAGAGUUCGUAGGUGGUUGAAAAAGUUGGUGGUGAAAUCCCAGAGCUUAACUCUGGAACUGCCAUCAAAACUUUUCAGCUAGAGUUUGAUAGAGGAAAGCAGAAUUUCUAGUGUAGAGGUGAAAUUCGUAGAUAUUAGAAAGAAUACCAAUUGCGAAGGCAGCUUUUCUGGAUCAUUACUGACACUGAGGAACGAAAGCAUGGGUAGCGAAGAGGAUUAGAUACCCUCGUAGUCCAUGCCGUAAACGAUGUGUGUUAGACGUUGGAAAUUUAUUUUCAGUGUCGCAGCGAAAGCGAUAAACACACCGCCUGGGGAGUACGACCGCAAGGUUAAAACUCAAAUGAAUUGACGGGGACCCGCACAAGUAGUGGAGCAUGUGGUUUAAUUCGAAGAUACGCGCAGAACCUUACCAACACUUGACAUGUUCGUCGCGACUUUAAGAGAUUAAAGUUUUCGGUUCGGCCGGACGAAACACAGGUGCUGCAUGGCUGUCGUCAGCUCGUGUCGUGAGAUGUUGGGUUAAGUCCCGCAACGAGCGCAACCCUCACUUUUAGUUGCCAUCAUUUAGUUGGGCACUCUGAAAGAACUGCCAGUGAUAAGCUGGAGGAAGGUGGGGAUGACGUCAAGUCCUCAUGGCCCUUACGUGUUGGGCUACACACGUGCUACAAUGGUAUCUACAACAGGAAGCAAAACAGCGAUGUUAAGCAAAUCCUUAAAAGAUACCUCAGUUCGGAUUGCACUCUGCAACUCGAGUGCAUGAAGCUGGAAUUACUAGUAAUCGUGGAUCAGCGUGCCACGGUGAAUGCGUUCCCGGGUCUUGUACACACCGCCCGUCACACCAUGGGAGUUGGUUCUACCUUAAGGCAAGGUUUAAUACCCUUGACCACGGUAUAGUCAGCGACUGGGGUGAAGUCGUAACAAGGUA